GUGGGGAAUAUUGGACAAUGGGCGAAAGCCUGAUCCAGCCAUGCCGCGUGUGUGAAGAAGGUCUUCGGAUUGUAAAGCACUUUAAGUUGGGAGGAAGGGCAGUAAGUUAAUACCUUGCUGUUUUGACGUUACCGACAGAAUAAGCACCGGCUAACUUCGUGCCAGCAGCCGCGGUAAUACGAAGGGUGCAAGCGUUAAUCGGAAUUACUGGGCGUAAAGCGCGCGUAGGUGGUUUUGUAAGUUGGAGGUGAAAUCCCCGGGCUCAACCUGGGAACUGCCUCCAAAACUGCAUGACUAGAGUACGGUAGAGGGGAGUGGAAUUUCCUGUGUAGCAGUGAAAUGCGUAGAUAUAGGAAGGAACACCAGUGGCGAAGGCGACUACCUGGACUGAUACUGACACUGAGGUGCGAAAGCGUGGGGAGCAAACAGGAUUAGAAACCCGAGUAGUCC
RNAcentral lists this ribosomal RNA (450 nucleotides) under uncultured bacterium. Its description in RNAcentral is "partial 16S ribosomal RNA". It matches the Rfam family "Bacterial small subunit ribosomal RNA", at positions 354 to 796 of the family's 1533-position model. The record is from RNAcentral.